UAUCUUGUUGUUUUCAGGUGGAUGACUUCACAAUUUCAAUACUCCACACAAUGACAGAAAUUGCACAGUAUCCAUCUGCAAUCCGCCAG
Molecule: non-coding RNA, 89 nt
Organism: Xyrichtys novacula (pearly razorfish)
Lineage: Eukaryota; Metazoa; Chordata; Actinopteri; Labriformes; Labridae
Source: the annotation of a GenBank genome assembly